UGCACCUCCCAAGCCAGCCCUUACAAAGUGUCCAUACCCAGGCCAGCACGGGGGACAAGAUUCUGUGACUGAGACAACCCCAGCUUUGUAGCAACCAAGGAGCACAGAAUCUCUUGUGAGGAGGAUUGUUGGAGACCCAGUGUUGGGAAUAUGGGAGGAGUUCCCGACCUGGAAGCUAAACUGGAUAGAGAUCCCAGACCUUAAGGAAUGUGUUGCAAUGCAGACUCAGAAAUGCUAGCUGCCCAAAUCCCAAUGAAUCCUAGCUGCAGAAACCACUGCUUCUCCAGCAUCAUCUCUCUUUUGGCAUCGAGCUCGUGUUUGAGACCUUUCAAAUGCUGCAGAAGAUGCUUCUUGCUCAAGAAAAAAUUAUCUCAUCUCUUGGGAGGGAACAGACUGGAAGUUGCAGCUCACAAACUGUGUUGCAUUUUAAAAACACCCUCCCCCGAGGCCUGGGGCAGACGCGGUGCAGGAGGGAGCUCCCCGUGCUGAGAGGACAAAGGCUGCUGGAGAGGACCCUGGGGUGGCUGGCCCAGCACUCGCCCUGUCCCGAGAAUGGCUUUGCCUUUUGCGAGCAGCCCGAGGAGAUUAGAGCAGCCCGACUGCUGCAAUCAGCCCUCCGGAUUCCUCUGCUCCCCGGAGCUGAGCUGCAACCAGCAUCUGGCCCCACCGUGACCUUGGUCUACUGAAAGGACAUUGGACUGAAGGACUUUUUAAUUUUCUCUCUCUUUUUCCCCUCCCAUUUUCUUUAUUCGCUUUCCCUCCCUGCCCCCUCCUAUUUUUUUGUCGUGUAUUUCGGACUGCUGUGGAUUAGAGAGUCUCUGUUGUAAAGGAGAGGGGCUCAGAUGUUAUCAGUGUUAUCAGUUCGUCUGUAAGUGAUGCUUUACAGCCAGGCAGCCUGGAGCUGAGCAACUGUGCCAUCAUCAGGCUCGGAUCAGCAGCACAAAGUCGGGGAGACGUCGCGGGAGCU
Lepidothrix coronata (blue-crowned manakin) is the source of this 967-nucleotide long non-coding RNA. RefSeq lists it as uncharacterized. The record is from RefSeq and is a predicted model, not a curated record. The transcript has 4 exons. NCBI's taxonomy places the organism in Eukaryota, Metazoa, Chordata, Aves, Passeriformes, Pipridae.